Molecule: transfer RNA, 72 nt
Filed under: Bacteroidales bacterium
Lineage: Bacteria; Pseudomonadati; Bacteroidota; Bacteroidia; Bacteroidales
Also listed under: 2 other names
Description: tRNA-Cys
Rfam family: tRNA
About the family: Transfer RNA (tRNA) molecules are approximately 80 nucleotides in length.
Source: RNAcentral
GGUGCGUUGGAUGAGAGGCUUAGUCAACGGUCUGCAAAACCGUGUACACCCGUUCGAAUCGGGUACGCACCU